GAGCUCGCGGCCUAUCAGCUUGUUGGUGAGGUAACGGCUCACCAAGGCGUCGACGGGUAGCCGGCCUGAGAGGGUGACCGGCCACACUGGGACUGAGACACGGCCCAGACUCCUACGGGAGGCAGCAGUGGGGAAUAUUGCACAAUGGGCGCAAGCCUGAUGCAGCAACGCCGCGUGAGGGACGACGGCCUUCGGGUUGUAAACCUCUUUUAGCAGGGAAGAAGCGAAAGUGACGGUACCUGCAGAAAAAGCGCCGGCUAACUACGUGCCAGCAGCCGCGGUAAUACGUAGGGCGCAAGCGUUAUCCGGAAUUAUUGGGCGUAAAGAGCUCGUAGGCGGUUUGUCGCGUCUGCUGUGAAAACCCGAGGCUCAACCUCGGGCCUGCAGUGGGUACGGGCAGACUAGAGUGCGGUAGGGGAGAUUGGAAUUCCUGGUGUAGCGGUGGAAUGCGCAGAUAUCAGGAGGAACACCGAUGGCGAAGGCAGAUCUCUGGGCCGUAACUGACGCUGAGGAGCGAAAGGGUGGGGAGCAAACAGGCUUAGAUACCCUGGUAGUCCACCCCGUAAACGUUGGGAACUAGUUGUGGGGUCCAUUC
RNAcentral lists this ribosomal RNA (595 nucleotides) under Microbacterium sp. Its description in RNAcentral is "bacterial SSU rRNA". It matches the Rfam family "Bacterial small subunit ribosomal RNA", at positions 227 to 834 of the family's 1533-position model. Lineage: Bacteria; Bacillati; Actinomycetota; Actinomycetes; Micrococcales; Microbacteriaceae. The record is from RNAcentral.